This 74-nucleotide transfer RNA is filed under the name Planctomycetales bacterium. RNAcentral describes it as "tRNA-Arg". It matches the Rfam family "tRNA". From Rfam's summary of the family: Transfer RNA (tRNA) molecules are approximately 80 nucleotides in length. Their secondary structure includes four short double-helical elements and three loops (D, anti-codon, and T loops). Further hydrogen bonds mediate the characteristic L-shaped molecular structure. tRNAs have two regions of fundamental functional importance: the anti-codon, which is responsible for specific mRNA codon recognition, and the 3' end, to which the tRNAs corresponding amino acid is attached (by aminoacyl-tRNA synthetases). tRNAs cope with the degeneracy of the genetic code in two manners: having more than one tRNA (with a specific anti-codon) for a particular amino acid; and 'wobble' base-pairing, i.e. permitting non-standard base-pairing at the 3rd anti-codon position. The record is from RNAcentral. Lineage: Bacteria; Pseudomonadati; Planctomycetota; Planctomycetia; Planctomycetales.
GCACCCGUAGCUCAAUUGGAUAGAGCACCGGUCUACGAAACCGGAGGUUACUGGUUCGAGCCCAGUCAGGUGUA